This 497-nucleotide ribosomal RNA is filed under the name uncultured bacterium. RNAcentral's name for it is "bacterial SSU rRNA". It matches the Rfam family "Bacterial small subunit ribosomal RNA", at positions 1 to 507 of the family's 1533-position model. The record is from RNAcentral.
AGUACAGACGAGUUUGAUCCUGGCUCAGGACGACGCUGGCGGCGUGCUUAACACAUGCAAGUCGAACGGUCUCCAUCCCGUGGCAACACGGGGGAAGAGAUAGUGGCGAACGGGUGAGUAACACGUGAGAAACCUGUCCUGGUCUCUGGGGAUAACAGUCGGAAACAACUGCUAAGACCGGAUGCCGUCGGAGCGUCGCAUGGCGCGCUGACGAAAGGGUUACUGGAUCAGGAGGGUCUCGCGGCCUAUCAGCUUGUUGGUGGGGUAACGGCCUACCAAGGCAUCGACGGGUAGCUGGUCUGAGAGGAUGAUCAGCCACACUGGGACUGAGACACGGCCCAGACUCCUACGGGAGGCAGCCGUGGGGAAUCUUGCGCAAUGGGCGAAAGCCUGACGCAGCAACGCCGCGUGCGGGAAGAAGGCCUUCGGGUUGUAAACCGCUUUCAGAAGGAACGAAACUGACGGUACUUUCAGAAGAAGGUGCGGCCAACUACGUG